CUCGCCUGCAUGAAGUUGGAAUUGCUAGUAAUCGCGAAUCAGAAUGUCGCGGUGAAUACGUUCCCGGGCCUUGUACACACCGCCCGUCACACCAUGAGAGUCGAUAACACCCGAAGCCUGUGAGCUUAACCUUUUAGGAGGCAGCAGUCGAAGGUGGGGUUGAUGAUUGGGGUGAAGUCGUAACAAGGUAAC
RNAcentral lists this ribosomal RNA (192 nucleotides) under uncultured bacterium. RNAcentral's name for it is "partial 16S ribosomal RNA". It matches the Rfam family "Bacterial small subunit ribosomal RNA", at positions 1311 to 1500 of the family's 1533-position model. The record is from RNAcentral.